GGACCCGCACCUCCCUGUUGACCAUUGACCGCCGUGGUGGACUUCCGGUCCCACUGACCAGGGGCAGGGAUCCCUCCUUCCUGCCGUCCGACACGUGUGAGGGAACGCCUCUCCUUUUACACCCACUCGUGUGGCACUCUCCCCCACUCGGUGUGGUCUCCAUCGGUUGGAUCACCUACACGGUCGAGAGAGACUCGCCAUCUGUAUUCGAUCCAAGACCAAUUUGUUACAGCUCUUGGGAGGUCGGAUGGCAUUGCUAGCUAUUUGUUGCCUGUUAGGCAGGGGGUGGGCCCCGGGACGGAGGAGUGGUAAGGAUCCAACAGCUAUGAUUGGGAGCCCCACGCGGCCGGUAGUCGUUUACCUUUACUCCCACGUGUGCUCGGACGCACAUCGGAGGGCUGUCAUUGGAUCAACGUCUCACGUCAUGGCAACAAGCGAUGGGAGUAGCAAACUUGUCACCUAAUACAUGACACACAUCUGCAGCUUUUGGCUGCUUGAUUCGGAUGGAUGGCAUGGUUCCUCCGCGCAUCACCAUCAUGUGUUUUUUUUUUUAUCGAUACAUCAUCACCGCCUUAUCCUGUCAUCUUCAUAAUUUUUCUUCUUUUCUUCAUAUUUAUAUCAAAAAGAAAGAGGACGAAUUUUUUCUAUCCAAAAAUAAUAAAUUAUGGAUCAACUAUAUUAAAGUAGUCGACUAAGGGGAGCUGAUCAUUAUUAAUUUAUCUUGUUCGCUGCAAUGAUGACGAUACCUUCUCCAAGUAUCGUAUUCAAUUACUUUUAAUCUUUCAUGUAAUCUAGUUUUUGUGAAUCUAUUCUUGUAGAUGUGGGAGUUACCUGUUCCUAUUAAAUAUUUUCAACUUUUUUUAUCAAGACAAACCAAAUUCUAUGUCCUAUUUAAUUCUGUUGAUCUAUCUGGUUGAUCCGACAUGCCAGCAACCUAAUCAAUUAGUAGUUUAUUACUUCACAAAAUAAAAAAAUUAAUAAUUUUUUUUUUUUGGCUUCCCAAAAGAUACCUACUACUGAUUUCUAACAUCUGAGAUGGGAGAAAUAAACAGGAAUAGAGGGGAUUCCUCUAGGGAGCAACCUUAGCGGCACGUACGAGCCACGGGAGUAAAUACCUUGCCGUGGAGUCAUCAUGCCAGAAGCAUUUCAGGAAAGCGAUAGCGAUGCAAGGCACUGCAUUUCUGAUAUGUUUUUCUAAUUUUGGAUCGGGAUAAUUUCACUGAAAAAUACACGAAAAAUUCUGGCUGAGUCCAGUCAACCGUUUCUGUUAUUUUUAUGCUAAAGAUAUGGAAUCAAAUGCUUGGUAUAUCUUUACCCAAAAAAAAGCUUGGUAUAUCAACUAUCGAAUUACUUAGAUGGGAACUGGUUUGAACGAAAAGCUUCGAUGAGAACGUUGUUUAGAUCAAUCACACUAUUGAGAAAAGCGUCACAAAUGGCAAUAUUAGAUUCAGAGGUUUAGCAAGAAAUGGACUACCCUUGGAUCUCUCUUCCUCUCAUGCGCCCAAACCACCACCACCCCCUGGGGGGUCCACCAUGAUAAAAUAAAAUGAAAUGAAAAAUAUUUCUCUCGCUCUCUUCCUCUCUGUUCGCUACUCCCGAGGGGAACUACUGUAGCCUACGGAAUAUAUCACGGGAGGGCAGAGCCGAUCGGAUGCAACGCCUGGCACCAAAAUGUCCUCAAACGCGCUCCGUGGCCCACCGUUUGGACCCACGACUCGGCAAACAUGCGGUGGCGUCCGUAGCCGUUACCGUAGGAAAUGGGAAUUAUGGGUGCCGUUGCACCGGACACAUACCCCUCGCCCGCACAGGCAAUCUCUGACACCCUAUAGUGGGCAUUUGGCUACGAUGCAUAUGUACAUAUCUCUCUCUCUCUCUCUCUCUCCUGAUCUCAUUUGCUGGCUACAAGUAUACGUGUGUCCCACCUCACGUGGCCUGGGCCCCACUCAGUUUAACCUCACCCGCACACGUCGCGUCACCCGACCCAAUACGCUGUGCCAUCAUUCGCUGCCAUCCCGUAAACAGGGUCCCGUAGCUGAUCAAGCUAGGGACCUUUUUAUUAGCUAAUAGCGUUUUGAGAGUAGUAGAUGGGGAUUAUUAUCUUAUACGCGUGGGCCGCGUCGCACUCGUGAGAUGGGGCCAUGCAACGAGGACAGAAGAACGGUAGGUGUUCAGAUCUUGAUGUCGUUACUACUCUUCCUUUCGUUUUAAUCCAACUCCAGCGGAAAGGGAAGAGCCGGAACGGGAUUCUGCAUUAAUUUUUCUUCUUCACGGUUUGCUUCCUCUACGGCUAGCAACCCUAAAACGUUAGUCUCGGGACUAGACUCUGAUUUGGAAAAGAAUAUCUACCUCUCAUCUUCUUCAAGCAAUGGAAACGAAAACAGCCAGAAGGGAGGGGAGAGAAUGAGUGGGGCUCCCGGGGCAGAGGGGCCCAGGUGAUGGUCACUGCCCACCACCAAUAUCCAGGCCCCCUUCUCACCCCCACCCCUACCCUUCUUUCCUCCCCCUUUAUAAAUAUGCAAUCCCCCACUUCCCAAAUCUACUCACCUCACCUCACCUCACCUCAUCCAGCCACACAAACACAAACCAGCACCACUCCUCUGCCACUCACCUGCACUCUCUCUCCCCUUCUCCCAACCUUCUCUCUCUCACAUACUCUCUCGCCCACUUUCUACACCAAAUCCAUCCCACGGAUCUAUAAAAUCAGCCGAUCCAGUGGAGAAGCAGGGGAGGAAGAAAGAAAGAUAAGGAGAUCUAUGGAGCUGUACAUGGACGAGAAAUGGAAGCUUUCGAAGAAGGGGAGCACGAAUAGCAGCUGCAGCGCCAGCAGGAGGAUGGUGGUGGGCGAAGGCGGGCCCUUCCUCAAAAGAUCCGCGAGCAUGAGAGAGGGGAAGUCGAGUUCGGGCUCGCCGCGGUCCUUCUCGAGCCGGUGCGCCAGCCUCGUAAAAGAACAGAGAGCCAGGUUCUACAUCAUGCGCCGCUGCGUCACCAUGCUCAUCUGCUGGCGAGACUACCCUUAAUUUCCUCCAACAACCCCUCUUUUUCGCUUCCUUCGCAACGCCCAGAAGGAAGCGAGCAAGCAGGCCAGGAAACAAGAAAGCUAGGAGAUAGAGAAGAGAGAGAGAGAUGAAAGCAAGAAAAUUAGAUGUGCUUGUACAUAGUUUAUAGUCUGUUUGUUAAUUUUGUUUUUGGGUUACUCGUGGUUUUGGAGAAGUUUUGGGUCUGCUGUAGUCUGUGGUGGCGACGCGAUGUGAGGCCUGGAAAUAUUCAUCAAGAGAGAGAGAGAGAGAGAGAGAGAGAGAGAGAUAGGAAAGUAGGUAGGGA
RNAcentral lists this long non-coding RNA (3321 nucleotides) under Elaeis guineensis (African oil palm). RNAcentral's name for it is "long non-coding RNA (EGUI_LNC026814)". Lineage: Eukaryota; Viridiplantae; Streptophyta; Magnoliopsida; Arecales; Arecaceae. The record is from RNAcentral.